This 497-nucleotide ribosomal RNA is filed under the name uncultured bacterium. Its description in RNAcentral is "partial 16S ribosomal RNA". It matches the Rfam family "Bacterial small subunit ribosomal RNA", at positions 28 to 507 of the family's 1533-position model. The record is from RNAcentral.
GAUGAACGCUGGCGGCGUGCCUAAUACAUGCAAGUCGAGCGAACAGACGAGGAGCUUGCUCCUCUGACGUUAGCGGCGGACGGGUGAGUAACACGUGGAUAACCUACCUAUAAUACUGGGAUAACUUCGGGAAACCGGAGCUAACACCGGAUAAUAUAUUGAACCGCAUGGUUCAAUAGUGAAAGACGGUUUUGCUGUCACUUAUAGCUGGAUCCGCGCCGCAUUAUCUAGUUGGUAAGGUAAAGGCUUACCAAGGCAACGAUGCGUAGCCGACCUGUGAGGGUGAUCGGCCACACUAGAACAGGGACACGGUCCAGACUCCUACGAGAGGGAGCAGAAGGGAAUCUGCCGCAAUGGGCGAAAGCCUGACGGAGCGACGCCGCGUGUGUGAUGAAGAUCUUCGGAGCGUAAAACUCUGUUAUUAGGGAAGAACAAAUUUGUAAGUAACUAUGCACGUAUUGACGGUACCUAAUCAGAAAGCCACGGCUAACUACGUG